This 460-nucleotide ribosomal RNA is filed under the name uncultured Colwelliaceae bacterium. RNAcentral's name for it is "bacterial SSU rRNA". It matches the Rfam family "Bacterial small subunit ribosomal RNA", at positions 1074 to 1533 of the family's 1533-position model. The record is from RNAcentral. Lineage: Bacteria; Pseudomonadati; Pseudomonadota; Gammaproteobacteria; Alteromonadales; Colwelliaceae.
AGUGGGUAGUCCGCACGAGCGCACCCUAUCCUUAUUUGCCAGCGCGUUAUGGCGGGAACUCUAAGGAGACUGCCGGUGAUAAACCGGAGGAAGGUGGGGACGACGUCAAGUCAUCAUGGCCCUUACGGGAUGGGCUACACACGUGCUACAAUGGCGUAUACAGAGUGCUGCAAUACCGCGAGGUGGAGCGAAUCACACAAAGUACGUCGUAGUCCGGAUCGGAGUCUGCAACUCGACUCCGUGAAGUCGGAAUCGCUAGUAAUCGUAGAUCAGAAUGCUACGGUGAAUACGUUCCCGGGCCUUGUACACACCGCCCGUCACACCAUGGGAGUGGGAUGCAAAAGAAGUGGCUAGUUUAACCUUUCGGGGAGGACGGUCACCACUUUGUGUUUCAUGACUGGGGUGAAGUCGUAACAAGGUAACCCUAGGGGAACCUGGGGUUGGAUCACCUCCUUAUCUU